This 254-nucleotide ribosomal RNA is filed under the name uncultured bacterium. RNAcentral describes it as "partial 16S ribosomal RNA". It matches the Rfam family "Bacterial small subunit ribosomal RNA", at positions 524 to 776 of the family's 1533-position model. The record is from RNAcentral.
UACGUAGGGUGCGAGCGUUAAUCGGAAUUACUGGGCGUAAAGGGUGCGCAGGCGGUCUCGUAAGCUGGGUGUGAAAGCCCCGGGCUUAACCUGGGAAUGGCAUUCAGGACUGCGAGGCUUUGAGUGUGGCAGAGGGAGGUGGAAUUCCACGUGUAGCAGUGAAAUGCGUAGAGAUGUGGAGGAACACCGAUGGCGAAGGCAGCCUCGUGGGCCAGCACUGACGCUCAUGCACGAAAGCGUGGGGAGCAAACAGG